UGAGCAAUCUGCCCUUCUCAUCGGAAUAAGCGUUGGAAACGACGUCUAAUGCCGAAUACGACCUCCUUUCGCAUGAUCGGAGGUGGAAAGCUCCGGCGGAGAAGGAUGAGCUCGCGGCCUAUCAGCUAGUUGGUGUGGGUAAUGGCCCACAAGGCGACGACGGGUAGCUGGUCUGAGAGGAUGGCCAGCCCACAGUUGGGACUGAGACACGGCCCAGAUCCCGUAACGGGG
This 231-nucleotide ribosomal RNA is filed under the name uncultured bacterium. Its description in RNAcentral is "partial 16S ribosomal RNA". It matches the Rfam family "Bacterial small subunit ribosomal RNA", at positions 118 to 346 of the family's 1533-position model. The record is from RNAcentral.